CAACCAUCAAGCCCCCGGCUUGUGUUGGGGACCUGCGGCACACCCGCAGGCCCUGAAAACCAGUGGCGGGCUCGCUGUCCACACCGAGCGUAGUAGCAUCUUUGUCUCGCUCAGGGCGUGGGGCGGGUUCCGGCCGUGAAAGCCACCUUCUCAAGGUACCCAAA
This 164-nucleotide unclassified non-coding RNA is filed under the name Dichotomopilus pratensis. Its description in RNAcentral is "partial internal transcribed spacer 2". The record is from RNAcentral. Lineage: Eukaryota; Fungi; Ascomycota; Sordariomycetes; Sordariales; Chaetomiaceae.